This is a long non-coding RNA of Pomacea canaliculata, 918 nucleotides long. RefSeq lists it as uncharacterized. The transcript has 3 exons. NCBI's taxonomy places the organism in Eukaryota, Metazoa, Mollusca, Gastropoda, Architaenioglossa, Ampullariidae. The record is from RefSeq and is a predicted model, not a curated record.
UUAUAAAUUUUACAGAAGAAACGUAGGACGACGAUGUGAAACUUGUUUUUGGUAGAUGAAAGUUAUAUACUUUUACAAAAUGGACUUUAAACUUGUUAAUCGUUAUCGUGAACUUUAACAAAAUACGGCGAAAGCGAGCCUUCGGAGUCACGUUUUCGAUCCUAUUCUUCGCGAUGUUUUGAAACAGUUUCGAAACUGAUCAGGAGAUACGAUCAACACGUAUAGGUCGACAGUUUCUCGAACAGUUCACCGUGUUUCUAAGGCUCUUUACAAAUCGUCUAAAUAAAUCAAAUACCUAGCCAGAGGGAUGAAAAAAAAGCAGAAAUCAUAAUUUUUCGCAAUCGCUCGAUUUCCAAGCGUGUUUGGGUGCGUAAAUGACAUCCAUGUAAAAAUACAGGGACCGUCUGAGCACGAAAGUGAAUUUGUAAAUAAAAAAGGUUAUCAUUCAAUAAAUGUACAGCUAGUUUGUGAUAGUGGCAUAAAUAUAAUUAACUGUGUUGUUAAGUAUUCUGGAAAUAGUCAUGACACCAGGAUUUUGACCGAGUCAAAGCUGUACCGAGCUUAUGAAGUACAUCCUUGAUUAGUCACGGGAUAAACUCAAGAAAGAAUUGAAGAUGCAACGGUGUACUGAAAACACGCCUUCCUUGCCUUUUAAAGAAACAUCAAGGUACAGUCCAAAGAGAGCUAUAGUUAUGAUCAUGGCAUGCAUACUAUUGCACAAGUAUAGUAUGCAUUCUGUAUGAUGAGCAUGAUGAUAAUCAUGAUGUUGAACUUUAUGGAGGUCAACAAGCCUUAAGUGCAAGAACAAAGCAAGAAUCCCUUCUUCACAGAUCCUUCUCCUAGAGCUUUAAUAUUUGAUGCACAGAGGGACUCUCAUUUCCACAAGUGUUGCAGCAGGGACCAGAUGAUGGAAGUUAU